This 429-nucleotide long non-coding RNA is filed under the name Ananas comosus (pineapple). RNAcentral's name for it is "long non-coding RNA (ACOM_LNC020486)". Lineage: Eukaryota; Viridiplantae; Streptophyta; Magnoliopsida; Poales; Bromeliaceae. The record is from RNAcentral.
UCUUCUUGUUCUUGUCCUUUUUCUUCAAAAACAGAAGGUAAAAACGUAUAGAACUUACUGAGCUAUGGACCAUUUUGAGUCAUCUGUCCAAUCUUUCAAAAUUUCGAUUUUGCUAUCCAACCUUUCAAUUUGUUUGACUUGAUUCUGUUAAUGACAUUUUAACUUCAAAAUUUGGAUGCAUCAUUUAUUUUUACAUGUUAAAUUAGUAUAUUACAUACAAUUUUCACAAUUGUAAAUUUAUUGAAGUAAGCAAUUAGUUUAACUUUUAAAAUUAAAAUGCUGUUGGCUGAAUCAAAUCAAAUAAAUUGAAAGGUCGACUAGUAAAAUCAAAAUUUUUAAAAAUUGAAUAUAAUGAACUCAAAAUGGUUCAUAGCUCAGAUAAAUUUUGAACAUUUUUAUCCCCACCCCAAAAAAAAAGCAUUUAACAAA